RNAcentral lists this long non-coding RNA (3925 nucleotides) under Nicotiana tabacum (common tobacco). Its description in RNAcentral is "long non-coding RNA (NTAB_LNC004810)". The record is from RNAcentral. Lineage: Eukaryota; Viridiplantae; Streptophyta; Magnoliopsida; Solanales; Solanaceae.
UUUCCAACAACCUCGUCACAGCACCUCAGCUAUAGACUGCCCUAACACCACCUCCACCAGAAAUGAAAUGAAAUCAGACUAGCGGGUAUCAUCAUCAAAGCCAUCUGAUGUCAGAGUGACUGAAAAUCAAAUUACCAUCGGAAAUGUAAGCUUUCUUUUUUGGAACAUGUUGGCUUUACGUUCUAACUCACUAUAAAAACUCUAGGUGUCGUCACGCCUAAGUUAUCUUUUUUUUUUCACUGUUUGAUUGUAGUAGGGGUUCACGUAGGAUGGUUAAGCCAGGAGCAGGACCGAGACUUUGGUUGUGUUUAAUCACGGUUGCGGAUAAACACAAAAAAAAGGGUUAUUCAUCUAAAAGUAAUAGUUCGAGCGGGUAACAGUCUGAAAGCGAAUGAGCUAACUAAUAUAUAAGUAUAUAGAGCAGAGCGAGUAAGCAAAAAGAAUAUAUUGAUCGUACAAGCAUUUCCCCUUCACUCAUCACCAAUGAAAGCGCUUUGUCCCACCUAUCAGAAAAAGGCCCUCACCCAUCGGACUAGGAAUUGCUAUUUCAUCCGAUUCAGUUAGCUCUAUUCUGUGACCUGAGGGCGGGAACCAUCUUCUUAGGGUAGGGGUAGCCCCACUUACUUUUGAGUCUAUCAACUGUGACAAGGGCUGCGGGAACAAGUGAUGUGCUUUCCCCGACAGAUACCACUAUUCAUUACCAUGAACCGGUCCCUUUUUAGUAUAGGCAACCAAUGCCAAGAAAAGUACCGGUUGUUCACCACCUAAAACUUUAAAAAUGUAAAUCACCACUAAAAACAAAAUCAGAAAAUUUAUAUUGUUAACCUUUUCUAAUGUUUUGAGCUCUAGCAUUCUAUUCAGCGUUUUGAGACUUUGAGUAGAUUCAUAUGAUGCAUUACGACUUGCAUGUAUGGUUGAGUUUGAUUUUUCGAGAGUUUUAGAGUUCAUUUGGAAGAGUAAUUUUAAUUCGAAAACCUUAAGUCGGAAGAGUUGACCAAUGUUUGACUUUUGAAUAAACGACCUCGGAAUCGAAAUUGGUUUCAAUAGGUUUGUAUGGUGAUUUUGGAAUUGGUCGUGUGUUUGAAUUUGGAUUUAGAGGUUCCUAGAAGAUUUUGACCCUAUUUGUAAAAGGUUGGCAAGUUGAAGAAUUGGAGAGUUCAUAGGUUUUACCAAGAGUUAACUUUGGCAUUAUCGUGCUUUGAUUGGUGAUUCGAGACUUCAGAUAGGUUUAUUUGGUUGAUUGGGACUUGUGUGCAAAUUUUGGUUGUGAUCCGGUAUGUCUAAGUGUGAUUCGUACAAGUUCGGUGAAGUUUGAAUGUAUAAAAAUUAAGAGAAUACUUCGGUCUUUAAUUCUUGGAUUUGAUAUUAUUUAUGGUGUUUUGAGCCUUUGGAUAAGUUGGUUUAUGUAUACGGACUUGUUGACAUGUUUGAACGGGGUCCCGAGCAAGUUUCAGAUCAUUUUGAACCACUUUGAGGUUGCUGAUUUUCUUGUGUUCAGGCAUGCAUCGUGAUCGUGGGCUUGGAGUCGCGAUCGCGAAGAGUUGUUGUGGACCUGGGAUGUUUGUUCAUCGCGGCGGCAAAAUGUUGCACACGAUCACAGAGUAGGAUCUUGAGGCGGUGUGUUUCUGGUCUCCGCAUUCGCGUAGAGGAAGAGGUCGACUAGAGGUUGUUGUUCACGUUCGCAUUUGGGUAUCGCGUUCAAAAUGGAGGCAGAACUAGAGAGUUUCGUGUUCGCGCAGGGCAGGUCUCUAUCGUCGAGGCUUAUUGUGGGUAGUAGCAUUUUUGUGAUUCACGAUCGCGAAGGAUUUACCUAGAGCAGACCUUUAAGUGUUAUAUUUUCGGACUUUUGCCCAAUAUUUCAUAUUUUGCGCUCUAAACUUCGAGAGGAGGAGAAUUUGAAGAGAAAUUUCACUACUACAUUAGAGAUAAUUGAUUUUUACUUAUAUUUGGCUUUAUAUCUUGAUUUUUUUUAUGGAUUUUUACAUCUAAAAUUUGAAAAUUUAAAGUAAAAUCUAGGGUUUUUAUCUACAACUUAAGAGGUGUAUUUGGGGAGUUUAGGGUUGAUUUGGACUCAGUUUUGGAAUCUAAUCACAUAUUUGAACUCGUGAGGUUAUGAGUAGUCGUGAUCUACCCCUUGACUCAAAUUUUAACUGUGUGGGCCUAGUUUGACUUUGGGAUUUGAUUAAAGAUCGAAGCUUUAUUGUUUGGAGUUGUUUCCUGUGGCUUUAUUUGAUGUUGUUGAGUUGUUUUUUUUUACUAGAUUCGAGUCGCUUGUAGUUGAAUUUGGACGGUAGGCGAUUGUUGCUUGAUUUUAGCUUACCGGGCAGAGGUAAGUCUCUUGACUAUCCUUGUAAGAGGGAAUUCUACCCAUAGGUGAUUUGUUUGCUACUUGAUUCACGAUUUAGGAGGCACGUAUAUGCGAGGUGACAAACAUAUUUGCAUAGCUAAGUCUUGACCUUAUCCAAUAUUAUUGACUUGGAUUUAUGCUUUGUUGGAUUAUGUGAAGUUGUUAUCCCUAUUUAAUUGAUUUUAUGACCUCAUGAUAAUAUAUAUCUAUGAUCUAGGAGCAUGCCUAGGAAUAUGACUUAUUGACUUAACAUAAAGGAUUGUUUUGCCAUGUUGAGCUUUAUUAUAAAUCCGUAGUCAUACACUUGUCUUAUUUGAUCCAUAAUUAUUAUGGUUUAUAUGGCCUAAUUGACCAUGAUAAAUAAUAUGAUUAAGCUACGACAUGCUAAAUAGUUUACUGAGUCAUUAUGAUAAAUUGUGUUACAUGAUUUACCAUAGCCAUCUUUUAGUCAUAUGAGCUUUUUAUCGGCAUUUUUAUUAUCAUGUCCGGUGCCCUUUUAUUACAUCGUUUACAUAUAUAUAUAUAUAUAUAUAUAUAUAUAUAUAUAUAUAUAUACACACACACACACACAUAUUGGAGAGUUGGAUAUUGCCGAAAUAUUGAGGAAUUUGGCACUAAGGACCAUAUUAAUGAAUGAUUGAUGAUAUUAUGAUUGGAACGGAUUGCGGUGCAAUGAUUAAUUGAUGUGAUUGAUCAUUAAAUAUAAAAUGAUCAACGGUUUAUGUAUAUGUCUCUCCGAAGCCAGAUGAGUACCCAUGUUACCUUGGGCCCUGUGAGCGUAGGCACCCGUGAUUCUUUUGUUGUUUGUUGGACAUGUGGCAUAUGUGAGGCACAUAGAUUUGUGAUGUGAGCUGUUGAUAUUAGAUCAGGGGUAUGCAUUGGAAGCAUAGACUCAUGCAUUGGCUCUAAUACACAUGGAUAUUAGAUUCUAAGCAUACAUAUGUACAUAUUUUUUUUAACUCAUGCAAUGAUUUGAUAUAAAUAUUAUUGACAUAAAUCAUAUCUUGGUAUGAGGAUCAAGGCGUUGAUGUCUUAAUUGCUCUCUUUACCUAUUAAGCAUGCCUAAAUUCUGUGUGACUUGUAUUUCUUUGAGUUGUCGUAUUUAUUUGAUGAGAGCAUGCUUAUUUCUGUAUUUUUAUUUAUGUUUUACCUAAUUAUUGUAUGGAUAGUGAGUGUCGAUGUCUAUUCUCGCCACUAUUUCUUCGAGGCUAGAAUUGAUACUUACUACUACCGUAAUUUUGUACUCAUACUAUACUUCUGCAUAUUUUUGUGCAGGUUAAGAGACAAGUAUUAGUGGUACCAUAGAGUUGAGUAGGAUGCAUUAUAUUGGAGACUUCGUGAUGAGCGCCUAUUCUUGAUCCAAUUCGCAGCACAUGGAGUCCCAGUCCCUACUUAUUUAUUUUUUGUUCACGUAUUCUUUCCGGACAAAUAUGUUUAUUCAGUGACUCUAGUUACUCUUAUUAAAUGCCCAUGAUAUAGUGACACCGGAUUGUGGAUAGUUGAUUAGACAACUGUGAUUAUGUUUAGACCAUCUCACAGAUUAUGUGCUCAUAUUAUUGAUUAAAAAUUCAUUUCGCU